RNAcentral lists this ribosomal RNA (315 nucleotides) under uncultured eukaryote. RNAcentral describes it as "partial 18S ribosomal RNA". It matches the Rfam family "Eukaryotic small subunit ribosomal RNA", at positions 1470 to 1796 of the family's 1831-position model. The record is from RNAcentral.
CCCUUAGAUGUUCUGGGCUGCACGCGCGCUACACUGACGCACGCAACAGGUGCCUGCUCCGAGAGGACUGGGUAAUCAUUUGAGUGUGCGUCGUGAUGGGGAUAGAAUAUUGUAAUUAUUACUCUUCAACGAGGAAUUCCUAGUAAGCGCCAGUCUGCAGCUUGCGCUGAUUACGUCCCUGCCCUUUGUACACACCGCCCGUCGCUCCUACCGAUGGGUGAUCCGGUGAAUGAUUCGGACUUCAGCGGCUCCCCUGGGGUGCGCCGGAGAAAGUUUUGUGAACCUUAUCACUUGGAGGAAGGAGAAGUCGUAACA